This 117-nucleotide small nuclear RNA is filed under the name Microcebus murinus (gray mouse lemur). RNAcentral's name for it is "U5 spliceosomal RNA (ENSMICG00000044843.1)". It matches the Rfam family "U5 spliceosomal RNA". From Rfam's summary of the family: U5 RNA is a component of both types of known spliceosome. Lineage: Eukaryota; Metazoa; Chordata; Mammalia; Primates; Cheirogaleidae. The record is from Rfam by way of RNAcentral.
AUACUAUGGUUUCUCUUCAAAACAAAUAAAUCUUUCGCCUUUUACUAAAGAUUUCCGUGGAGAGAGACAGUUAUGAGUUGGUAACCAAAUUUUUUGAAGUCUUGCUUAGGCAAAGCU